This is a non-coding RNA of Drosophila suzukii, 601 nucleotides long. NCBI's taxonomy places the organism in Eukaryota, Metazoa, Arthropoda, Insecta, Diptera, Drosophilidae. The record is from RefSeq and is a predicted model, not a curated record.
AGAUAUACGAACAUGGGAGCACUACAAACUACACAGAAUGGAUAUGUUUUUCAAGUUUUCGUCGGUCCGUAUUUGUUGGCUGUCAAGUCGCAUAAAUCUUUCAUUGGAUCCAGGGCUAAGAUGUGUUGAUAAAAUUAGUGAACUUCAAAAAAGGGGAACUAAGUGGAAUGUGUUCAUUUAAACAGCUGCAGACUACAAUUUUUACAGAAAGCUCUAUUUCCAUCACGAUCGAAUAAUAAACUUUAUAUGCCAUCAGGGAUUUCUUCUAGAUGCCGCUAAUUAAAAGUGAAAGAAUCAUCAUUUAACACUAAUUUUUUUGUCUAUUAGGUACAACAUGUCUAAAAAAACGUAGGUUUGUCUGGGUUCAAGCCGAAGAUAUGUGAAAUAUUAUUUUCUCUAAUUUAAUUCCAUUUUUUUUUAAAGUGAAAAUACUUUUUCAAUCUGCCCAAAAAAUCAAAUUUAAUGCCGCAACUUGUUCCAGUCACCUCAAUUGUUCACCAACCGAUUGUCGAGCAUUCUUGACACUUUUCACUUUCCCUCAAGUUGCCGUUAUUCGAUACUGGGGCACUACCAAAAAAAAAGAGACUAAAGCUAAGGAGAA